AAGCCACAGCGCGGCCGAGGCGCAGAACCGGAUCUCUUCAGGUUCGGGUCUGCAACCCCGCCAGCCCCCAAGAUGGCGGCCGCGCUGUGCCGAUAAGCGCGAAGCCGCCCGGGUGCGUGCAGGCGGGACUUCCGCCCGGAGGUGCGCAGGCGGGACUUCCGCUCAAUCCUUCCCCGCCGGCCGCAGCGGGCAAGAUGGUGGCGCUGAGGGCUCUGCGCGGCUUCGGGGGUGCUGCGGCCCUGGUGCUGCGGCCCGGCGCUGGGUGCCGGCUGCAGGUGCAGCCCAGCAGAGGUGCCCGGCAGUGGCAGCCAGAUGUGCAAUGGGCAGAGCAGUUUGGGGGAGCGGUCAUGUACCCCACCAAGGAAACAGCCCACUGGAAGCCUCCACCUUGGAAUGAUGUGGAUCCUCCAAAGGACACAAUGGUGUCGAACCUGACCCUGAACUUUGGGCCCCAGCACCCAGCAGCCCACGGUGUGCUGCGCCUCGUGAUGGAGCUAAGCGGGGAGAUGGUGCGGAAGUGCGACCCUCACAUCGGGCUGUUGCACCGAGGCACCGAGAAGCUCAUUGAAUACAAGACCUACCUGCAGGCCCUGCCGUACUUCGACCGGCUGGACUACGUGUCCAUGAUGUGUAAUGAGCAGGCCUACUCAUUGGCUGUGGAGAAACUGCUGAACAUCCAGCCUCCGCCACGGGCACAGUGGAUCCGAGUGAUGUUUGGGGAAAUCACACGGCUGUUGAACCACAUCAUGGCUGUGACCACACAUGCCCUGGACAUUGGGGCCAUGACCCCUUUCUUCUGGAUGUUUGAAGAAAGGGAGAAGAUGUUUGAGUUCUAUGAGCGAGUGUCUGGGGCUCGGAUGCAUGCUGCUUAUGUCCGUCCUGGAGGUGUGCACCAGGACCUACCCCUUGGGCUUAUGGAUGACAUUUAUCAGUUUUCGAAGAACUUCUCUCUUCGGAUUGAUGAGGUGGAGGAGAUGCUGACCAACAAUAGGAUCUGGCGAAAUCGGACAGUUGACAUUGGGGUUGUAACUGCAGAAGAUGCACUUAACUACGGUUUUAGUGGGGUGAUGCUCCGGGGCUCAGGCAUCCAGUGGGACCUGCGGAAGACCCAGCCCUAUGACGUUUAUGACCAGGUGGACUUUGAUGUUCCGAUUGGCUCCCGAGGGGACUGCUAUGACAGGUACCUGUGCCGGGUGGAGGAGAUGCGCCAGUCCCUUCGAAUCAUCUCACAGUGUCUGAACAAGAUGCCUCCUGGGGAGGUCAAGGUGGAUGAUGCUAAAGUGUCCCCGCCCAAGCGAGCCGAGAUGAAGACGUCUAUGGAGUCCCUGAUCCAUCACUUUAAGUUGUAUACAGAGGGCUACCAGGUUCCUCCGGGGGCCACCUACACGGCCAUCGAGGCUCCUAAGGGAGAGUUUGGGGUGUACCUGGUGUCUGAUGGCAGCAGCCGCCCUUAUCGAUGCAAGAUCAAGGCUCCUGGUUUUGCCCACCUGGCGGGUUUGGACAAGAUGUCUAAGGGGCACAUGCUGGCGGAUGUUGUUGCCAUCAUAGGUACCCAGGAUAUUGUGUUUGGAGAAGUCGACCGGUGAGCAGGACAACAUUUCAUCUCCCUGCCUCUCGACUUCCUGUGUGGAGCCUGUCGUCAUUGGAAAUGGGGCUGUGUGUGUGUAGGCCCUGGGAGAUCCUCAGAUCUGCUACAUCCUGGAUUCAAUCCUGUUUCUGUACGGGAUUAUCCUAACCCUGCUCUACUGUCG
Non-coding RNA from Miniopterus natalensis, 1751 nucleotides. The record is from RefSeq and is a predicted model, not a curated record. Lineage: Eukaryota; Metazoa; Chordata; Mammalia; Chiroptera; Miniopteridae.